UACGGAGGGGGCUAGCGUUGUUCGGAAUUACUGGGCGUAAAGCGUACGUAGGCGGCUUUUUAAGUCAGAGGUGAAAGCCCGGGGCUCAACUCCGGAAUUGCCUUUGAAACUGGAGAGCUUGAACAUGGGAGAGGUGAGUGGAAUUCCGAGUGUAGAGGUGAAAUUCGUAGAUAUUCGGAGGAACACCAGUGGCGAAGGCGGCUCACUGGACCAUUGUUGACGCUGAGGUACGAAAGCGUGGGGAGCAAACAGG
Molecule: ribosomal RNA, 253 nt
Filed under: uncultured bacterium
Lineage: Bacteria
Description: partial 16S ribosomal RNA
Rfam family: Bacterial small subunit ribosomal RNA
Source: RNAcentral